AGAGUUUGAUCCUGGCUCAGGACGAACGCUGGCGGCGUGCUUAACACAUGCAAGUCGAGCGGUAAGGCCUUUCGGGGUACACGAGCGGCGAACGGGUGAGUAACACGUGGGUGAUCUGCCCUGCACUUCGGGAUAAGCCUGGGAAACUGGGUCUAAUACCGGAUAUGACCUCCUAUCGCAUGGUGGGUGGUGGAAAGAUUUAUCGGUGCAGGAUGGGCCCGCGGCCUAUCAGCUUGUUGGUGGGGUAAUGGCCUACCAAGGCGACGACGGGUAGCCGACCUGAGAGGGUGACCGGCCACACUGGGACUGAGACACGGCCCAGACUCCUACGGGAGGCAGCAGUGGGGAAUAUUGCACAAUGGGCGAAAGCCUGAUGCAGCGACGCCGCGUGAGGGAUGACGGCCUUCGGGUUGUAAACCUCUUUCAGCAGGGACGAAGCGCAAGUGACGGUACCUGCAGAAGAAGCACCGGCUAACUACGUGCCAGCAGCCGCGGUAAUACGUAGGGUGCAAGCGUUGUCCGGAAUUACUGGGCGUAAAGAGUUCGUAGGCGGUUUGUCGCGUCGUUUGUGAAAACCAGCAGCUCAACUGCUGGCUUGCAGGCGAUACGGGCAGACUUGAGUACUGCAGGGGAGACUGGAAUUCCUGGUGUAGCGGUGAAAUGCGCAGAUAUCAGGAGGAACACCGGUGGCGAAGGCGGGUCUCUGGGCAGUAACUGACGCUGAGGAACGAAAAGCGUGGGUAGCGAACAGGAUUAGAUACCCUGGUAGUCCACGCCGUAAACGGUGGGCGCUAGGUGUGGGUUCCUUCCACGGAAUCCGUGCCGUA
RNAcentral lists this ribosomal RNA (827 nucleotides) under uncultured bacterium. RNAcentral's name for it is "bacterial SSU rRNA". It matches the Rfam family "Bacterial small subunit ribosomal RNA", at positions 8 to 850 of the family's 1533-position model. The record is from RNAcentral.